CUAAAGUAGUUUGCCAAAUAUAUUAGUAUAGAGUUGAAUAAAGCAUUUAAUUUUGUAUGCAUUAUUUUUUUCCCAUUUUUUCUUACUUAAACUGUCUGUGAUUUUGCUCCCUGUUGUGUUGGCUAGAUGUGCUAAUAGAUUAUAGUUGGCCCUCCAUAGCUGCAGGCUAUGCACUGGCAGAUUUAAUCAACUGUGGAUUGGACCAAGUGUGAAUCAUAUCCUUACCAAAUGUAUAUAGACUUUUUUUUCCUCCUCCUCUUCCUCCGCCUCCACCUCCUUUUUCCCCUUUUGAAACAGGGUCUUGCUAUGUUGUCCAAGCUAAUCUUGAACUUCUGAAAACUCCUUAGCCUCCCAAGUAUCUGGGACUUUUGGGCAUGUGUCACUGUGCCUGCCUCAAACAUUUUUUUCUUGUCAUUAUUUCUUAAGCAAUAUAGUAUAACAACUAUUUACAUAGUACUUACAUUGUAUAAGAUAUUAUAAAUUAUCUAGAAAUGACUUAAAGUAUAUGGGCAAAUGUGUGCAGGUUAUUUGCAAAUACACCAUUUUAUAUAAAGGACUUGAACAUCA
Molecule: long non-coding RNA, 567 nt
Filed under: Marmota monax (woodchuck)
Lineage: Eukaryota; Metazoa; Chordata; Mammalia; Rodentia; Sciuridae
Source: RNAcentral